Onychostruthus taczanowskii (white-rumped snowfinch) is the source of this 325-nucleotide long non-coding RNA. RefSeq lists it as uncharacterized. The transcript has 3 exons. The record is from RefSeq and is a predicted model, not a curated record. Lineage: Eukaryota; Metazoa; Chordata; Aves; Passeriformes; Passeridae.
CUCCACCCCAGAGUGGUCCCACAGGAGAAGUGGCACUGGGAAGAUAUUUAUGACCUAGAGAAUUAUUAACUGGAAAUCAUCGGUGGGAAGAAAAUGUGGGAAGCUGAACCUCUCACUUUGGGGGUGAGCAGGGGUGCCACGGUCUCCUGGAGCUGAUUUCCACCAGGGAAAACAUCAUUAUUCCCAGCUGGCAGGGGCUGCAGGUAAACAGCACGAGCUCCUUUCUCUUCAGAACUCAAAUCCUCCAAGCUGUCCUCAUCCAAGCUGUCAUCCUCCAGGCUGUCACCAGCCUCCUGCCCCAGCAGCUCCCGAUUUUGCAGGAUGC